AGGACGAACGCUGGCGGCGUGCUUAACACAUGCAAGUCGAGCGGAAAGGCCCUUCGGGGUACUCGAGCGGCGAACGGGUGAGUAACACGUGAGCAACCUGCCCCUGGCUCUGGGAUAGCCUCCGGAAACGGGGAUUAAUACCGGACAUUCUCCUUCUUCCGCAUGGUUGAGGGUGGAAAGGUUUUUUUCGGCCGGGGAGGGGCUCGCGGCCUAUCAGCUUGUUGGCGGGGUAACGGCCCACCAAGGCGACGACGGGUAGCC
RNAcentral lists this ribosomal RNA (261 nucleotides) under uncultured bacterium. Its description in RNAcentral is "partial small subunit ribosomal RNA". It matches the Rfam family "Bacterial small subunit ribosomal RNA", at positions 26 to 288 of the family's 1533-position model. The record is from RNAcentral.